UACGUAGGGUGCAAGCGUUGUCCGGAAUUAUUGGGCGUAAAGCGUGCGUAGGCGGCUGCGCAAGUCGGGUGUGAAACCCCGGGGCUCAACCCCGGAACUGCAUCCGAUACUGCGUGGCUAGAGGUAGGUAGGGGAGAUCGGAAUUCCUGGUGUAGCGGUGAAAUGCGCAGAUAUCAGGAGGAACACCGGUGGCGAAGGCGGAUCUCUGGGCCUUACCUGACGCUGAGGAGCGAAAGUGUGGGGAGCGAACAGG
RNAcentral lists this ribosomal RNA (253 nucleotides) under uncultured bacterium. Its description in RNAcentral is "partial 16S ribosomal RNA". It matches the Rfam family "Bacterial small subunit ribosomal RNA", at positions 524 to 776 of the family's 1533-position model. The record is from RNAcentral.